AGAGUUUGAUCCUGGCUCAGGAUGAACGCUAGCGGCAGGCUUAAUACAUGCAAGUCGAGGGGCAGCGCGGGGUAGCAAUACUCUGGCGGCGACCGGCAAACGGGUGCGGAACAUGUACGCAAUCUACCUUUAACUGGAGGAUAGCCCCUCGAAAGAGGGAUUAAUACUCCGUAAGAUAACGAAGUGGCAUCGCUUUGUUA
Molecule: ribosomal RNA, 200 nt
Filed under: uncultured bacterium
Lineage: Bacteria
Description: partial 16S ribosomal RNA
Rfam family: Bacterial small subunit ribosomal RNA
Source: RNAcentral